RNAcentral lists this ribosomal RNA (253 nucleotides) under uncultured bacterium. RNAcentral describes it as "partial 16S ribosomal RNA". It matches the Rfam family "Bacterial small subunit ribosomal RNA", at positions 524 to 776 of the family's 1533-position model. The record is from RNAcentral.
UACGAAGGGGGCGAGCGUUGUUCGGAAUUACUGGGCGUAAAGGGCUCGUAGGCGGCCAACUAAGUCGGACGUGAAAUCCCCAGGCUCAACCUGGGAACUGCGUCCGAUACUGGAUGGCUUGAAUUCGGGAGAGGGAUGCAGAAUUCCAGGUGUAGCGGUGAAAUGCGUAGAUAUCUGGAGGAGUACCGGUGGCGAAGGCGGCAUCCUGGACCGACAUUGACGCUGAGGAGCGAAAGCUAGGGGAGCAAACGGG